UACAGAGACUGCAAGCGUUAUUCGGAUUCACUGGGCGUAAAGGGUGCGCAGGCGGCCAAGUGUGUCAGGUGUGAAAUCCCGGGGCUUAACUCCGGAACUGCGCCUGAAACUACUUGGCUAGAGCAUUGGAGAGGGAAGUGGAAUUCACGGUGUAGCAGUGAAAUGCGUAGAUAUCUGGAGGAAUACCGGUGGCGAAGGCGGCAUCCUGGACCAUUACUGACGCUGAGGCGCGAAAGCUAGGGGAGCAAACGGG
This 253-nucleotide ribosomal RNA is filed under the name uncultured bacterium. RNAcentral's name for it is "partial 16S ribosomal RNA". It matches the Rfam family "Bacterial small subunit ribosomal RNA", at positions 524 to 776 of the family's 1533-position model. The record is from RNAcentral.